GGUGUAGUGCCCCCUUUUUAUAGGAAAGAUGGGGCGACUCCAUGGGACGCCAACUCUUGGCAUUCCUUAACUCUUACACGUCAAAAAUAAAUUUUUAGCAUGGAAUACAAGGGGAUGGCAUAAAAUAUGAAGUGGUUUACCAGCAGAAGGACUCUUCCUCUACUAAGAAAAAAUAUAACGUCAACUCUUGACGCAUGGGA
Molecule: long non-coding RNA, 200 nt
Filed under: Elaeis guineensis (African oil palm)
Lineage: Eukaryota; Viridiplantae; Streptophyta; Magnoliopsida; Arecales; Arecaceae
Description: long non-coding RNA (EGUI_LNC059518)
Source: RNAcentral